This 499-nucleotide ribosomal RNA is filed under the name uncultured bacterium. RNAcentral's name for it is "partial 16S ribosomal RNA". It matches the Rfam family "Bacterial small subunit ribosomal RNA", at positions 30 to 523 of the family's 1533-position model. The record is from RNAcentral.
AUUGAACGCUGGCGGCAGGCCUAACACAUGCAAGUCGAGCGGAUGAGAGGAGCUUGCUCUUUGAUUCAGCGGCGGACGGGUGAGUAAUGCCUAGGAAUCUGCCUGGUAGUGGGGGACAACGUUUCGAAAGGAACGCUAAUACCGCAUACGUCCUACGGGAGAAAGUGGGGAUCUUCGGACCUCACGCUAUCAGAUGAGCCUAGGUCGGAUUAGCUAGUUGGUGAGGUAAUGGCUCACCAAGGCGACGAUCCGUAAGUGGUCUGAGAGGAUGAUCAGUCACACUGGAACUGGGACAAGGUCCAGACUCCUACGGGAGGAAGCAGUGGGGAAUAUUGGACAAUGGGCGCAAGCCUGAUCCAGCCAUGCCACGUGUGUGAAGAAGGUCUUCGGAUUGUAAAGCACUUUAAGUUGGGAGGAAGGGCAGUAACUUAAUACGUUGCUGUUUUGACGUUACCGACAGAAUAAGCACCGGCUAACUCUGUGCCAGCCGCCGCCGUAA